RNAcentral lists this ribosomal RNA (443 nucleotides) under Boreotrophon xestra. RNAcentral's name for it is "partial 12S ribosomal RNA". The record is from RNAcentral. Lineage: Eukaryota; Metazoa; Mollusca; Gastropoda; Neogastropoda; Muricidae.
UUUUUUAAGCUUCAAACUGGGAUUAGAUACCCCACUAUUCUUGGUCGCAAAUUAAAUAUAUUUACCAGAGUACUAUGAACCAUAAAAGUUUAAAACUCAAAGAGCUUGGCGGUGUUUUAGACCUUUCAGGGGAACCUGUCUCAUAAUCGACAAUCCACGCUAUACCUAGCCUUUUUUUGCUUUCAGUUUGUAUACCGUCGUCGUCAGGUAACUUUUAAAAAUUUAAAAGUUAGCAUAAAAAACUAUGUAAGUUUAAACGUCAGAUCAAGGUGCAACCUAUAUAAAGGUGAGGAUGGGUUACAAUUAUUAAAUUAUAAUCACGAACUAAUUAUUUGAACAAAUAAUAAUAAAGGAGGACUUGAAAGUAAAUUAAAUUAUAUAAACAUCUUGAAUAAGGCUCUGAAACGUGCACACACCGCCCGUCACCCUCUGCAGUCAAAAAA